Molecule: transfer RNA, 75 nt
Filed under: Pseudoalteromonas denitrificans DSM 6059
Lineage: Bacteria; Pseudomonadati; Pseudomonadota; Gammaproteobacteria; Alteromonadales; Pseudoalteromonadaceae
Description: tRNA_Gln_TTG
Rfam family: tRNA
About the family: Transfer RNA (tRNA) molecules are approximately 80 nucleotides in length.
Source: RNAcentral
UGGGAUAUCGCCAAGCGGUAAGGCACCGGGUUUUGAUCUCGGUAUUCCUAGGUUCAAAUCUUAGUAUCCCAGCCA